AGAGGCCUUCAUUGAUGUUACCAGUGGUUUGAACAGCUCAUAAGAGGAGAAGAGAGAGAGUCACAUUGUAGUGUAUAGGAUGAGUAACCUCUAACACAUUGACUUGUAAUUUGUAAAGCAGUCCCUCCAGUUUUGAAUUAAGAGGACUGGACUGUUUCAUUUCCAUCCAUUGUAAAAUUAUUCUAUACAUUUUUCUGCAAGAACGUUGAGAGUAAUAUCUCUCCAUAUAUACAAAGGUUCAAACAGAAUCUCUUGGUUUCCCUUUUUUCCUGUUGAUUUUGUUUCCCCUGGUUUCCACAUAAAAUUUGAGUAACCCGAAAAGCUCAGAAGUUUAGGCAUGGAUUGAUGGAUUAACUAGUAUGCAUGUGCCUAUAUCAUAACUAUUUGGGCAUAAUGUGAUUCAUUUUUCACUCAAUUCAACUAAAAUCAAAAUAUUCAAUCCAGGAUUUUCUUUUCAAUCACUAUAAGCUGGUGAAUUAACCAGAUAUGGAGUGACUACAAGGACCUUGGAAUUUUUGGAAUUAUGUUGAGAAUUGUCUCUAGAAUUUGGGAUAUUAGUGAAUUGUUAGACCUUAGAAAUUCCGGCUUAAAAGCAAAAAUCUUUUGGGAAGUCCUGUCUCAAACAUUGGAUCAGAGACAUACUUCUGAAAUUGAAGAAAAGAAAUCACUAAUUUAUGACUCCUUCUCAUCUCUUAACUGAACCCUGCAUUGAAGCACUUUGGAAGUCAUUUGAAGCAAUUCAGCUGAAGGAAGUUAUAGUAUUGAUGGACCUAUGUAUAGUCUAUAGAUCAAAACUUGAAUCCUUCUCCUGAUGAGGAAACAUGAAUAUUUUUGUCCCCUGAGGCUAAACCUUGUGCCAUAAAAAUACUAAGAAAAAAAUUUCUACAAAUUUUGGAGUAUAUGUUGGAAACUAAUUCAGUGUGCCCAUUUAUGAAUAAUGCAUGCUUUGUUUUUAGACUUAGGGAGUUCUUGAACUACAUAUUUUCAAGGUCCAUAGUCUUGCUUUUGAGUUCUUUAUAUAAAGCAUCAUAGAACAGUAUCAUGUGAUAUGUUGGUUAGGUCUUGCUUCUGUUCAAAUUUUUGUCUCUGCGUAUUUGAUGCUGAAGCUCGGAUAGUCACUGGUUCCUCACUUGUGUAGAACAAAAGACAUCAUCACAUGAGAAUAUGGCUUGUUUGUUUCAGUAUAUCCAAAUGAUCAGUUGCAUAUAUGUUAUAACAGUAGGAUGCGAUACAAAGAUAAUAAUUUCAAGUGGUCCUCAGCUGUCUGUUCUAUCAACUGGUAGGCCAUGAUGAAGCAAUGGAUAUAUGACAGUAUGAAAGAUAUGGAAAUCUUAUAAUUGAUUGGGAGGCAAAACCAUGUGAUCCCCUGUCACAUAUCUCCUUCAAGGGACCCCAUUGUAGUAAUCCCUUCUCCAUUCAUUCCAUCUGAGAAUACUGGCCCUAUAGAAUUUGUUCUAUAAAUAUACCUAUUCUAAGGGCAUACAUCCACCAAGUCUCAAAGCUUUUCUUGUUUUCCAAACUCUUAGAAAUCCAUUUCCCACUAUCAAUUUUCUGAGUAACUAAAUUUGAAACUCAUGGCCAUCCGAUUUCAGAGGAUUAUCCCUGCAAAGCAGAUCCUGAGGCGCAUUCUUCCAUCUCCAGAGUCUACAAAUGUGCCUAAAGGUCAUGUUCCUGUCUAUGUUGGGGAAGCUCAAAAGAAGAGAUUUGUGAUUCCAAUUUCAUACUUGAAGCAUCCUUCAUUCCAGAACUUGCUAAGUCAGGCUGAGGAAGAGUUCGGGUUUGAUCAUCCACUGGGUGGUCUCACAAUCCCAUGCAGAGAAGAAGCCUUCAUUGAUCUAACUUGCAGUUUGAAUUGCUCAUAAGCAAGGAGGAUAAUCUCAAAACCACCAGCCUGAAGGACUCUGAAUCUCUAACACCACUGACCCCAAAAACCAAUCCCAUCAAUUUUGCUUCAUUGAGAAAUAGGCCUUUUUUGUAAUGAGAACGAUGUAAAUUUCUUGUACUUUUCUGUAAAGCAAGUUUACAGUCAAAUGUCUUCAUAUUAAUUGAAUAGCUCUACUUUUUCCUUAUCUUCUUUUGUCCUCCAGCAGCCAUUCUGUACAAGUUAGUCCAUUAAUUUGCAGAUUCAUUUACAAUACAAAUACUAGAAAUCCAAUGGCCCAAUAUUUAAGUACUUGGGAUUUGACAAUAUAGAUACUCUCUCAUUCUGGUUUCAUUAUUAUGAAUGUCCACUACCUGAAUCAGCACUCAACCCUAAUAAGAAAAAAAAGGCUUAUUAAAUAGGAAGAGGAAGAGAAAAUAAGCAGCAUAAACCGAAAAUAACCCCAUUUCACUGGGUCAAGAUCGCUAUGUGUUAGGUGUUCCCUUCCAUAACAGCUAAUCGCUAUGUGUUAGGUGUUCCCUUCCAUAACAGCUAAAAUGCCAUCGUUUUAACUGAAAAUAUCAAAAACCAUGAAAUCCCAAAUGAAUUUAGAAUCAAAAUCCUUCAAUAAUUUUUUGACUACUAAGUUAAUUUACAUUUACUUCAUGUUUGAUUCUAUUGUUAAACACUUUGACAAGGACAUUUAUAUUAUAUGAUUCCUUCUAUGGCAAUUAUUUCAAGCAACAUUAUCACAUGAGCUGAUAAUUCGUGUUCCCUUUUAGUGUAUGCUAGUUUCAUGGACUAUGUAUUGCUAGUAGUUUGUGUUUAUAAGAACUCCAACAAGCUUCAGACAUGUACCACAGGUAUGCUAUGGUUAGUGGAAUGAAUAUAGUCCCUACCAGUUGGUGGUCCAAGUCCACAACCAUUCCCAGCAAAUAAAUUUCUGUAUGAACACCACCCAAAUCUUAUUAUUAUUUGGGAGGCAAAUCCAUGUGAUCCCUUGUGAUGAAUGGACCCUAUCAGAGACUUCUCUUUGCCACCAAUUCCAUUGGGAAUACUGGCCAUACAGAACUUGCUUGCUCUAUAUAUAUUCUACUCAUCCUGAGGAUAUGGCAUCCCACAGCCAAAGUUUUCUUGUUCUAACAGAUCUUAGAGUACCAUUUUCCUUACCAUUACUUUUCUGAAUCCAUAGAAGUCAUGGGUUUUGGUUUGCCUGGGAUGUUUGCUGCUAAGCAGGGUGCAGAAUCCAAAAAUGUGCCAAAAGGCUAUUUUGCUGUUUAUGUGGGAGAAGCCCAGAAGAAGAGGUUUGUGGUUCCAAUCUCAUACUUGAAGAACCCUUCAUUCCAGAACUUGUUGAGUCAGGCUGAAGAAGAGUUCGGGUUCAAUCAUCCAAUGGGAGCUCUCACAAUCCCAUGCACAGAAGAGGCCUUCAUUGAUGUUACCAGUGGUUUGAACAGCUCAUAAGAGGAGAAGAGAGAGAUUCACAUUGUAGUGUAUAGGAUGAGUAACCUCUAACACAUUGACUUGUAAUUUGUAAAGCAGUCCCUCCAGUUUUGAAUUAAGGGGACUGGACUGUUUCAUUUCCACCCAUUGUAAAAUUAUUCUAUACAUUUUUCUGAGAGAAAUUUGAGAGUAAUAUCUCUCCAUACAAAAGUUCAAAAAGAAUCUCUUGGUUUUCUGUUUUUUUUUUUUCCUGUUGAUUUUAUU
RNAcentral lists this long non-coding RNA (3568 nucleotides) under Vitis vinifera (wine grape). Its description in RNAcentral is "long non-coding RNA (VVIN_LNC000601)". Lineage: Eukaryota; Viridiplantae; Streptophyta; Magnoliopsida; Vitales; Vitaceae. The record is from RNAcentral.